CCUACGGGGGGCUGCAGUGGGGAAUCUUGGACAAUGGGCGCAAGCCUGAUCCAGCCAUGCCGCGUGAGUGAUGAAGGCCCUAGGGUUGUAAAACUCUUUCGUGGGGGACGAUAAUGACGGUACCCCAAGAAGAAGCUCCGGCUAACUUCGUGCCAGCAGCCGCGGUAAUACGAAGGGGGCUAGCGUUGUUCGGAUUUACUGGGCGUAAAGCGCGUGUAGGCGGGCUGGAAAGUUGGGGGUGAAAUCCCGAGGCUCAACCUCGGAACUGCCUCCAAAACUUCCAGCCUGGACUCAAGUAGAGGCAAGUGGAAUUGCGAGUGUAGAGGUGAAAUUCGUAGAUAUUCGCAGGAACACCAGUGGCGAAGGCGACUUGCUGGACUUGUAGUGACGCUGAGACGCGAAAGCGUGGGGAGCAAACAGGAUUAGAUACCCCGGUAGUC
Molecule: ribosomal RNA, 440 nt
Filed under: uncultured Woodsholea sp.
Lineage: Bacteria; Pseudomonadati; Pseudomonadota; Alphaproteobacteria; Maricaulales; Maricaulaceae
Description: bacterial SSU rRNA
Rfam family: Bacterial small subunit ribosomal RNA
Source: RNAcentral